RNAcentral lists this ribosomal RNA (1241 nucleotides) under metagenome. RNAcentral describes it as "bacterial LSU rRNA". It matches the Rfam family "Bacterial large subunit ribosomal RNA", at positions 1564 to 2815 of the family's 2925-position model. The record is from RNAcentral.
UGAAUACGAGAUGCUACGGCGUCGAAGCAGUGUAUGUCAGACUUCCAAGAAAAGCUCGCAAUGUCAUAAAUAAAGAAUGCCUGUACCAUAACCGACACAGGUGGGUAGGUAGAGUAUACUAAGGGGCGCGAGAUAACUCUCUCUAAGGAACUCGGCAAAAUAACUCCGUAACUUCGGGAGAAGGAGUGCCUUCUAUUAGAAGGUUGCAAUAACAAGAUCCAAGCAACUGUUUAUCAAAAACACAGGUCUCCGCUAAGUCGUAAGACGAUGUAUGGGGGCUGACGCCUGCCCAGUGCCAGAAGGUUAAAGAAGCUGGUUAGCUUUGGCGAAGCUGAUGACUGAAGCCCUGGUGAACGGCGGCCGUAACAAUAACGGUCCUAAGGUAGCGAAAUUCCUUGUCGGGUAAGUUCCGACCCGCACGAAAGGCGUAAUGAUUUGGGUACUGUCUCGGAGAGGGACUCGGUGAAAUAGACUUGUCUGUGAAGAUGCGGACUACCUGCACCAGGACAGAAAGACCCUAUGAAGCUUUACUGUAACUUGAAAUUGAAAUUGGACUUUAUUUGCGCAGCAUAGGUGGAAGGCGUUGAGAUUACUCUUGCGGGAGUACUGGAGCCAUCAGUGAGAUACCACUCCUAUAAUGUUAGAUUUCUAACUUUGGAUCAUGAUCUGGUCAAAGAACAGUUUCAGGCGGGCAGUUUGACUGGGGCGGUCGCCUCCCAAAUGGUAACGGAGGCGUACAAAGGUUUCCUCUGAACGGGUAGAAAUCGUAUCUAGAGUGUAAAGGCAUAAGGAAGCUUGACUGUGAGACCUACAAGUCGAGCAGGGACGAAAGUCGGUCUUAGUGAUCUGACGGUGCUGAGUGGAAAGGCCGUCACUCAACGGAUAAAAGUUACUCUAGGAUAACAGGCUGAUCUCCCCCAAGAGUUCACAUCGACGGGGAGGUUUGGCACCUCGAUGUCGGCUCAUCGCAUCCUGGGGCGGUAGUACGUCCCAAGGGUUGGGCUGUUCGCCCAUGAAAGCGGUACGCGAGCUGGGUCAGAACGUCGUGAGACAGUUCGGUCCAUAUCCGGUGUAGGCGUUAGAAUAUUGAGAGGAGCCUUCUUUAGUACGAGAGGACCGAGAAGGACAUACCUCUGGUGUACCAGUUAUCGUGCCAACGGUAAACGCUGGGUAGCUAUGUAUGGAGAGGAUAACCGCUGAAAGCAUCUAAGUGGGAAGCCCACCUCAAGACGAGUAUUCUC